AUCGCAACACCUAAAGGAUCCUCAUUAAGGUGGGUGGAAUAGUAUAACAAUAUGCUAAAUGUUGUUAUAGUAUCCCACCUACCCUGAUGUAUCUUUAAGACUAUCUUACGGU
MicroRNA precursor from Myotis lucifugus (little brown bat), 112 nucleotides. The record is from Ensembl. NCBI's taxonomy places the organism in Eukaryota, Metazoa, Chordata, Mammalia, Chiroptera, Vespertilionidae.